UACGUAGGGGGCUAGCGUUGUCCGGAAUCAUUGGGCGUAAAGCGCGUGUAGGCGGUUCGGUAAGUCCGCUGUGAAAGUCGGGGGCUCAACCCUCGGAUGCCGGUGGAUACUGUCGGACUAGAGUGCGGAAGAGGCGAGUGGAAUUCCUGGUGUAGCGGUGAAAUGCGCAGAUAUCAGGAGGAACACCGAGUGCGAAGGCAGCUCGCUGGGACGUUACUGACGCUGAGACGCGAAAGCGUGGGGAGCAAACAGG
This 253-nucleotide ribosomal RNA is filed under the name uncultured bacterium. RNAcentral describes it as "partial 16S ribosomal RNA". It matches the Rfam family "Bacterial small subunit ribosomal RNA", at positions 524 to 776 of the family's 1533-position model. The record is from RNAcentral.